RNAcentral lists this small RNA (213 nucleotides) under Arabidopsis thaliana (thale cress). RNAcentral's name for it is "ATSL189080". Lineage: Eukaryota; Viridiplantae; Streptophyta; Magnoliopsida; Brassicales; Brassicaceae. The record is from RNAcentral.
UGAUUUUUGAAUUAUAAAUCUUUUAAUAAAAGUAUUAUUAAAACAAAAAAUAAAAAAUAAUGUUUAAUUUCACCGAAUGGUAUAGAUGGUAGGACGGGUUUAGAAUAUUAUAAUAUAUGAACUUUAGAACAAUUAAAUAACCAUUUGAAAGAAAACUUUUAUAUUGAUUUGAAUUAUAUAUCUUUUCGAUUAAAGUAUUAUUAAACAAAAAUG